GAUUGAACGCUGGCGGCAGGCCUAACACAUGCAAGUCGAGCGGUAGCACAGAGAGCUUGCUCUCGGGUGACGAGCGGCGGACGGGUGAGUAAUGUCUGGGAAACUGCCUGAUGGAGGGGGAUAACUACUGGAAACGGUAGCUAAUACCGCAUAACGUCGCAAGACCAAAGUGGGGGACCUUCGGGCCUCAUGCCAUCAGAUGUGCCCAGAUGGGAUUAGCUAGUAGGUGGGGUAACGGCUCACCUAGGCGACGAUCCCUAGCUGGUCUGAGAGGAUGACCAGCCACACUGGAACUGAGACACGGUCCAGACUCCUACGGGAGGCAGCAGUGGGGAAUAUUGCACAAUGGGCGCAAGCCUGAUGCAGCCAUGCCGCGUGUGUGAAGAAGGCCUUCGGGUUGUAAAGCACUUUCAGCGGGGAGGAAGGCGGUGAGGUUAAUAACCUCACCGAUUGACGUUACCCGCAGAAGAAGCACCGGCUAACUCCGUGCCAGCAGCCGCGGUAAUACGGAGGGUGCAAGCGUUAAUCGGAAUUACUGGGCGUAAAGCGCACGCAGGCGGUCUGUCAAGUCGGAUGUGAAAUCCCCGGGCUCAACCUGGGAACUGCAUCCGAAACCGGCAGGCUAGAGUCUUGUAGAGGGGGGUAGAAUUCCAGGUGUAGCGGUGAGAUGCGUAGAGAUCUGGAGGAAUACCGGUGGCGAAGGCGGCCCCCUGGACAAAGACUGACGCUCAGGUGCGAAAGCGUGGGGAGCAAACAGGAUUAGAUACCCUGGUAGUCCACGCCGUAAACGAUGUCGAUUUGGAGGUUGUGCCCUUGAGGCGUGGCUUCCGGAGCUAACGCGUUAAAUCGACCGCCUGGGGAGUACGGCCGCAAGGUUAAAACUCAAAUGAAUUGACGGGGGCCCGCACAAGCGGUGGAGCAUGUGGUUUAAUUCGAUGCAACGCGAAGAACCUUACCUGGUCUUGACAUCCACAGAACUUUCCAGAGAUGGAUUGGUGCCUUCGGGAACUGUGAGACAGGUGCUGCAUGGCUGUCGUCGGCUCGUGUUGUGAAAUGUUGGGUUAAGUCCCGCAACGAGCGCAACCCUUAUCCUUUGUUGCCAGCGGUCCGGCCGGGAACUCAAAGGAGACUGCCAGUGAUAAACUGGAGGAAGGUGGGGAUGACGUCAAGUCAUCAUGGCCCUUACGACCAGGGCUACACACGUGCUACAAUGGCAUAUACAAAGAGAAGCGACCUCGCGAGAGCAAGCGGACCUCAUAAAGUAUGUCGUAGUCCGGAUUGGAGUCUGCAACUCGACUCCAUGAAGUCGGAAUCGCUAGUAAUCGUAGAUCAGAAUGCUACGGUGAAUACGUUCCCGGGCCUUGUACACACCGCCCGUCACACCAUGGGAGUGGGUUGCAAAAGAAGUAGGUAGCUUAACCUUCGGGAGGGCGCUUACCACUUUGUGAUUCAUGACUGGGGUGAAGUCGAACAAGGUAACCAAGGGCGAA
RNAcentral lists this ribosomal RNA (1490 nucleotides) under uncultured bacterium. RNAcentral's name for it is "bacterial SSU rRNA". It matches the Rfam family "Bacterial small subunit ribosomal RNA". The record is from RNAcentral.